RNAcentral lists this transfer RNA (71 nucleotides) under Providencia phage vB_PreS_PR1. It matches the Rfam family "tRNA". From Rfam's summary of the family: Transfer RNA (tRNA) molecules are approximately 80 nucleotides in length. The record is from Rfam by way of RNAcentral. Lineage: Duplodnaviria; Heunggongvirae; Uroviricota; Caudoviricetes; Demerecviridae.
ACUCGCUUAGUAUAACGGUAGUGCUAGUCCUUUACACGGACUAAGCGGUGGUUCGAUUCCUCCAGCGAGUA